GCGCAAGUGGUUUAGUGGUAAAAUCAACGUUGCCAUCAUUUGCAUUUCCAGUUCGAUUCCGGGCUUGCGCA
RNAcentral lists this transfer RNA (71 nucleotides) under Clavispora lusitaniae. RNAcentral describes it as "tRNA-Gly". It matches the Rfam family "tRNA". From Rfam's summary of the family: Transfer RNA (tRNA) molecules are approximately 80 nucleotides in length. Their secondary structure includes four short double-helical elements and three loops (D, anti-codon, and T loops). Further hydrogen bonds mediate the characteristic L-shaped molecular structure. tRNAs have two regions of fundamental functional importance: the anti-codon, which is responsible for specific mRNA codon recognition, and the 3' end, to which the tRNAs corresponding amino acid is attached (by aminoacyl-tRNA synthetases). tRNAs cope with the degeneracy of the genetic code in two manners: having more than one tRNA (with a specific anti-codon) for a particular amino acid; and 'wobble' base-pairing, i.e. permitting non-standard base-pairing at the 3rd anti-codon position. The record is from RNAcentral. Lineage: Eukaryota; Fungi; Ascomycota; Pichiomycetes; Serinales; Metschnikowiaceae.